RNAcentral lists this ribosomal RNA (363 nucleotides) under Triticum aestivum (bread wheat). RNAcentral's name for it is "partial small subunit ribosomal RNA". Lineage: Eukaryota; Viridiplantae; Streptophyta; Magnoliopsida; Poales; Poaceae. The record is from RNAcentral.
AUGGUUAAACUAUUUUGUCCCACAAUCGCGGAUGACUUCGUUGCGGUAGGGCUUGAUAUUCCUGUGCUUGUGGAACCAAGAAUGAAUAUUGGAGUAAAAUGUUGCAUCCCUUUGCUCCGUGCCAUGGAUCGGAUCGAUGCUAGUGACCAACCAUGCAUCACCCUAGGUCUGGGCGUUCGGUUCAGUUUCUACAAGUCCUCUUUUGGGGGAAUUCGGUUAGUAAAAGUGAAAACCGAAACAGGCACUAAAAAUGAGCUAACCAAAAUUUUGGUUAAGCGAAUUUUCGGUUCGGUUUUUGGUUUUAAACCGAAUUGUGGAUCAUGUAUAGAAAAUGCAAGUUCAAAACAUAUUUUGACAGCAUGA